Molecule: microRNA precursor, 87 nt
Filed under: Scleropages formosus (Asian bonytongue)
Lineage: Eukaryota; Metazoa; Chordata; Actinopteri; Osteoglossiformes; Osteoglossidae
Description: mir-22 microRNA precursor family
Rfam family: mir-22 microRNA precursor family
Source: Rfam by way of RNAcentral
AGUUGCUCCACAGUCGUUCUUCAUUGGCUAGCUUUAUGGCUCAGCCCUUGGAGUAAAGCUGCCAGUUGAAGAGCUGUUGUGGGUGAC